ACGAAGGCCACCUGUCAAACUGCAAAUUCUCGGUUUGUGGCCCUGCGUGCUCUGCACGCUUUGAAUUACACAGUGAAAGGGCUACAGAAGCAGUCAUUGAAGGCCUACAAAAGUCUUGAUGAUUUCAAGUAUUUUGUGGCAGGAUGGGUGCGUGAUGUUGAGGUCUUCAAUGUUCCAAAUUCGGAUGUUUUUUGAUCGUGUCUAAGGUAAGAAACUUUCUUUGUGGGGAUGUGAGAGAGGAGCCUUAUCGGUGAAGUUAUACUGAUAGCAUUGCCAACUACCGGCCUAACGUAACUUACAUGUACAUGCCGUUUUGCUACAGUUAGCACUGGGACAUACUAGCUUAUUACUUGACAAGAUGAUUUUCUCAUGCCACCGUACAAAUUUCUCCAAUUUACAUAACAGCCUAAUUUGUAGAAAUUAUGAGGUUUGACCAUGGUAAAGACUUAAUUUUUUACAUGCCCAAAUAGUAAUAGUAUAGGCCUAUACAUAUGAUUUCUGUUUUUCUUCUCUCUAAGUUUUCCAUUCCCAGCAGCUUGGAUAGACACCUCACAAGCCAUGGGUUGCUGUCAAGUUAGAUGGACAAAUUCUUCAUCUGUUCAUGGGUUCUGCACUUGUAUGGCUGGUGUUGCAAAGUCGUGUUCCCACAUUGCAGCAACUUGUUUUGCAGUUGAAGCUGCUGUGUGGGUGAAAUAAUAAGUACAUCAAGUACCUCCAAGGAAUGCCAGUGGCUUGCCCCAUCCUCAAGAAAUGUGGAUUAUGUGGAAACUGUCAACAUUGACUUUUCUAGUCCCAAGAGAAGGCAGAAGUGUGGUGGAGUCACCCCCAAGGAGCUAGUUUGUUCCAAGACCAGUACUCCUUGAUCUUCCGCAGCCAUUGACAGAGCUGUAUGGUGCCAAAUUUGUUGCUGCUUCCUUCGAUGAAGUCCUUGCAAAAAAGCAAGACUGUGUGUAAGGAAAUGGCAGUUUCUAAGAAGCAGAUUGUUGGUAUAGAAAGAGAAACAAGGAGCCAGGCUGCAUCAAAGACAUGGUUCUUGUAUCUAGCUGGGCGUGUCGCCUUAUCACUUUACAAGGCCGUCUGCCACACCAGCUGUGAUAACCCAUCCAUGUCCCUCAUCAAGAGGAUAUGCUACCCCCCACACUAACAGAUUCUCAGUGCAGCAACCAGGUGGGGGUGUAAACAUGAAUGUCAAACUCUAUCAAACUCUGAUGUCUACAUCAGUAAGAGUCAGCAUGUAAAUCAGAAGGUGACUGACUGGACUUUUCAUACAUCCCAAGCAUAGCUACAUAGGGCCCUCCCAAGAUGUGUGUGUAUCUUGUGACUGUUGUGGUGAGGGAAUACUUGAGAUUAAAUGUCCAUAUUGUCACAGGAAUGACACAGUAGCUGAUGCAGCAUCUACAGACAGCCUUCUGCCUUGAAAAGCUUGGUGGUGCACUGAGUUUGAAGAAAACCACCAAAAUUAUUUUCAAAUUCAGUGUCAGUUGAUGGUAACCUCCAGAAAAUAUUGUGACUUUGUUGUUUACACCAAGUCUGACUUCCACAUUGAACGCAUACUUCCAGAGUCCAACUUUGUAAACACAAUCCAUAAUUUUGCAAAGUUUUACAAGACUUGUGUUCCUUAACUCAUUAGUCAGCACUACACUCACAAAGCUGCCCAUGUCUCUACGUCUUGUGUGCCAUGCUUUUGACAAGACUUUGACUUAAAGAAGACAAUCAUUAAGUGCUCAUCUACUGAUUGUACUGUUAAAGAGUUUCACAAACAGUGUGUGGGCCUGAAGAAUAACCCCGCAAAGAAAUGGUUGAGCAAAGUGAAGAAAACUUAGUUUUGUGUGAGAAAUACAUUGUACACCCAACCACACACGUGCUGCAAACUCCCACAUCUAUCAUGCUCUUAAGUGGGUUUGUUACAUUUGAGGAAUGUGUUAUGCCACACUGUAUGCAGGCCAGAUUUCCAUCUUAUUUUUCUCCCUGUACAUUAUAAAUAUGAAUGGGAUGCUUAAACCCCAAAUACAAAUUAAUAUCAGAGGAACAGAAUAACAAAUACAAUAGCCUCUGCUUCUUGUCAUUUUAUUGUACGUGCAGUAAAAGUUUUAGUUUCGUAGUAUUGUUAUACAAUUACAUGUAGCAUAAUUAUCCCAUCACAUUUUCUAUAAUUCUAUCCUUGAAGUGACAGUGAAAAUAAAGAUUUUAUGAGGGAAACUGGUAUUUCAAUAAAUCCCUUAGUACUGCACUGAACAUUACGUCACAUCAGUAAAACAUGCAAUGGAAUAAAACACAUUUCAAAGUGAUUAAGUACACAGGAGAACCUGAAA
This 2312-nucleotide long non-coding RNA is filed under the name Acanthaster planci (crown-of-thorns starfish). RNAcentral's name for it is "uncharacterized LOC110986854, transcript variant X3". Lineage: Eukaryota; Metazoa; Echinodermata; Asteroidea; Valvatida; Acanthasteridae. The record is from RNAcentral.